AUGGACCACGUGUACACCCCGGUUCCUGCGCGCCGUCCGCACCCGCCUGACGACUGCUUGCCACGUUGGGUUAGCG
This 76-nucleotide small RNA is filed under the name Xanthomonas nasturtii. Its description in RNAcentral is "sX9 sRNA". It matches the Rfam family "Xanthomonas sRNA sX9". The record is from RNAcentral. Lineage: Bacteria; Pseudomonadati; Pseudomonadota; Gammaproteobacteria; Lysobacterales; Lysobacteraceae.